AUACGUAGGGAGCGAGCGUUGUCCGGAAUUACUGGGUGUACAGGGAGCGUAGGCGGGAGGGCAAGUCAGAUGUGAAAUACAUGGGCUCAACCCAUGGGCUGCAUUUGAAACUGCAUUUCUUGAGUGAAGUAGAGGUAAGCGGAAUUCCUGGUGUAGCGGUGAAAUGCGUAGAUAUCAGGAGGAACACCGGUGGCGAAGGCGGCUUACUGGGCUUUUACUGACGCUGAGGCUCGAAAGCGUGGGGAGCAAACAGGAUUAGAUACCCUGGUAGUCCACGCUGUAAACGAUGAUUACUAGGUGUGGGGGGACUGACCCCUUCCGUGCCGCAGUUAACACAAUAAGUAAUCCACCUGGGGAGCACGGCCGCAAGGUUGAAACUCAAAUGAAUUGACGGGG
Molecule: ribosomal RNA, 396 nt
Filed under: uncultured bacterium
Lineage: Bacteria
Description: partial 16S ribosomal RNA
Rfam family: Bacterial small subunit ribosomal RNA
Source: RNAcentral